Molecule: ribosomal RNA, 933 nt
Filed under: Triticum aestivum (bread wheat)
Lineage: Eukaryota; Viridiplantae; Streptophyta; Magnoliopsida; Poales; Poaceae
Description: partial small subunit ribosomal RNA
Source: RNAcentral
AUGUUGGGUUCAAAAGAGCUAACAGAAUUCCUAUCAUGUAUUGGUAAGGAUACAAGCACGCCUCUUGACCAUUUCAAAGGUACCGAAGUUGUCAAGGAGUAUGUUCGAAAGAAGAAUCUACAUGAUAAGAAGAAGAAAUCUGUCAUGUGUGAUCAGAACCUGCAUUCUUUAUUUAACAAAAGGAAAUUUAAGUACAGCAUGAUCUAUAGCCUGCUGGAAACACAUCUUUCUGCAAAUGUGAUUUCAGAGGAUGAAAGCGAUGGAUCUGUGGAUGAUAAUGGUUACACGGUGAAAAAGAAGCCUUGGAAUAAUUUAGAGCCAAAAAUUCCUAAGAGUGUUUCAGGAAUAGACCCAAUAAUUCCUAAGAGUGUUUCAGGAAUAAACAAGAAAUGUCUUGCCGCUCUCAAUCCGAAUAACCUGAAUCUGAUUUAUCUGAGAAGAACCUUAGUUGUAAAACUUCUGACCGAGCUAGACACAUUUGAACAGAAGGUUAUUGGCUGUUUGGUCACAGUGAAGAAUGAUCUCAAUAGUUAUACUUAUCAGAUGACUAAGAAAUAUUACCAGAUUGGACUAGUUACAGGCAUUAAGAAAUCUUCAGAAGAAUACAAGAUUAAGGAUACAUGUACAGAUGUUCUUUUAUGUGCUUCCAGCAUGUGGGAUGAUGCCAAGAUCUCGAUGCUAUCAGAAGAGGACUUUGAGGAGGAUGAGUGCAAUGAUCUUCUUCUGUCGGCCAAGAAAGAGCUCUUCAAAAGGCCUACUGUUGCUGAGUUAGAGGGAAAAGAGGCAAGUAUUCAUGCAGACAUAGUUAUUUGUUGGUUUGAUAAGGAGCUUCGAAAAUUGGACAAGGAGUUGGAAAGAGCGCGCGAGAAGGGGUGGCUCCAGGAAUAUCCUUUCCAGAUUGAUUGUAAAUCUGUAAUGAUCAUGCAGCAGUAA